Long non-coding RNA from Alligator mississippiensis (American alligator), 2174 nucleotides. RefSeq lists it as uncharacterized. The record is from RefSeq and is a predicted model, not a curated record. The transcript is spliced from 2 exons. NCBI's taxonomy places the organism in Eukaryota, Metazoa, Chordata, Crocodylia, Alligatoridae.
CCCCCCCACACACCUGGUCGCUAUGGAGAGCGGCCAAACAAGAUGGCGGCGCCAGUAGUCUCUCUCUCUCUCUCUCUCCCCCCCCCACACACCUGGUCGCUAUGGAGAGCGGCCAAACAAGAUGGCGGCGGCGCGCUGAGGCCCCGCCCCGCCCCGCCCCCCGCGGCGCUGGUGCCGCGAGUAGCAGGCAGCAGUAUUUCGCAGUCAGCGGCCUGGGCGCGUCGUAGAGGCACACCCCUACUUUUAGGGCCCACCUUGGCAACCACCACGAUGUGCUCCCUCUUGCUCCUCGCCUGUCUUCUUUCCAUGGUGGGGUCCACGUCGAUACCCCCACGCUCCCUCCUUGCCUAGCGUCUCAAGCAAACUCCGUGACAAGUGACCUUUCAUUUUGUUUUCUGGUUGAGCGUUCGUUCUGGGAACCGCGAGUCCUGUUCCCUCUCCACCCUGCUCCGUCUUUCUUCUUAGUAGCAAGAUCAAUCCCCCCCCACUCCUUCUGACAUACGGAGGAAAUACACAGCCGUCUGCCUCCUCUGCGCCGCCAGACACCGUGGUUUCUCAGUCGGCCGUCUCCUCUGCUCCCUGCUCCCCUCGUUGCAGCGACACCCUGCCUUCCCAAUCCCCCGUGCCAGUUUUUUGUCUGUCUUCUCCAUGCCCUCUUCCUGUUUUCUGGCGCUCCGCCGUGCACCUAUGUUUGUCUUCCUCUUCUUUCAAUAGCUCUCCGGACCCCAUGGACACUGCUGGCCCUCCAGCCGAGGCUCUUUGAGCGUGUCUGGGAUUCCUUCCCUGACUGUCCUUGCUCCUGAAGCCGUGUUUGCAUUUGACAGGUCUCAGAAACAGCGCGCCGUCCUCCAUCAUCUGCUGGCCGCCUUUGGUAGCAUCAGCUGUGCUCGUCUCUUUGAAGUCUCGUCUCCUUUGGCUUUUCAGACCGUCCUUUCCCGAUUCUCCUCGCCCUCCCGCCCAGCUCUACGGGGUUCAUUCUGACCUAUUUCCUGAAUACAAGUCCAAGUCCAAAAUAAAAAUCUCAAGGCUGUCUGGCGAUCACAACGUCCUUCUUCAACCCUACCCUACUGCCUUCUUGCUGACUGUGGACACCACCGUAUUCCCUGCCUUUUUUUGGAGCCUAUAACCUGGGCUUCAUCUUCAACCCUGACCUCUCCGUUGUUCCUCUCAUCCACCUUCCCUCUAAAUCUUGCAGUUUCUUUUUGCCUAAUGUCUCUUAGUGCUUUUUAGGGCUGUGCGAAACUUCAGUCCCCGAUUCAGCGGCCGACUCCGAAUCGAAUCAGAGAUUCAAAUCUCUCCGAAUUGAAUCAGAACCCUCUGAAUCGAGUCAGAGAGAUUUGGUGAUUCGGAUGUAGACAUGGCUUUAAAUGUUUUUUCUACGCACGGAGUAUCCCACAGAAGCGCGGGGGGCGCCCCAGCGUGCUCGGCCGCAGACCCAGAAGAGGAACAAAAGCACUACCGGACCGCUUCUGGGUUUGCUGCCUCCCCUCGCAUUCCUAUGGGAUGCUCCAUCCACCCCGACAUCACACCGUUCACAAGCCGCGCUCGGUACCUCGAGGUACAUAGAAAAAACAUGCAAAGCUGUGCCUGUGGCCGAAUCGCCGAUUCUCCAAAUUGGCAUUGAAUCCUCAGAUUUGGAUUUGGCCGAAUUGAAUUGGGGACAGUGAUCCGAAUCAACGAAUCAAACCGCUGUCCCCGAUUCGGGCCGAAUCUGAAUCCGAAUUGAGCUUGCUUCACACACCUCUGCUGCUUUUCUAUCCACGCAGCUAAACCUCUCAUCCCAGCAUGAUCUCAUUUCCUUAUUCAGACUGUCAUCUAUUGAAGGCUGGGUAGGACUUUCUUACUCUGUUGCUUUUACGGCACUUAGCAAAACACCCUCACGUUCUUCAGAUGCUUCCCUAACACAGUCUUGCUGUAAUUUUUAUGUAAAAGUUGACAAAGGUUAGGCUCCUGGUUCACCACAACCCCACCUCCCCCAUACCAAGAAUAAUAUUGCUUUCUGUUACUCCCUCAUGUACACUUUUCGUAUUAAGGACAGGGACAGUUACUCUGUUUGCACGGUGCUUGCAUGCCAUGGUACUGGUCCAAGACUGGAGUUUCCACGUGCUUCAGCUGUACUAAGUAAUACCAUAGCAGAAAGAGAUACUGGACAAAUAAAGGUUUUCAGAUCAGUG